GGAGUGUUGGCCGCGGGGGUUCAGGCGCUCCCCUGCUAAGGGAGUAUGGGGUUAAUAGCUCCAUCGAGGGUUCGAAUCCCUCUCUCUCCGCCA
This 93-nucleotide transfer RNA is filed under the name endosymbiont of Riftia pachyptila (vent Ph05). RNAcentral describes it as "tRNA-Ser". It matches the Rfam family "tRNA". From Rfam's summary of the family: Transfer RNA (tRNA) molecules are approximately 80 nucleotides in length. The record is from RNAcentral. Lineage: Bacteria; Pseudomonadati; Pseudomonadota; Gammaproteobacteria.